GAUGAAGAAGAAGAUGAUGAUGAUUUUGAACUUUGAUGAGGAUGAUGAGUAAAAUGCAUAUGAAUCUGAAUCUGAUUCCGAUUAUUUCUUCUAAAUAUUCACACCAUUCUGUGUUUUUCUUUUCUUUUGGCAAUAUUACGUGUGUAUAAAUGUUGGGAGAGACCAAAUUGUUCGGACGCAUAACUGGGCUCUUUGCACAUAACUUGUUUAUUCUUCUUUACUGGUUACUUGCUUGCAAGGUUUAUUACUUUUCUUUGUGGUCUUUGAGUGCUGAGAAAUAAGAGUGAGAAAGCAAAAGCUGAGGAAAAUUGAAUUGGAAAGCUAGGUGAAAUACUGAAAUCCAUGGAGAUAAAGCAAGUAAUGAGAUUUUCAU
This 373-nucleotide unclassified non-coding RNA is filed under the name Hevea brasiliensis (rubber tree). The record is from RNAcentral. Lineage: Eukaryota; Viridiplantae; Streptophyta; Magnoliopsida; Malpighiales; Euphorbiaceae.